CUGAAUAGAUUUCACUAUGCAUGGAUUCUGUUCUCUCUCUCUCUCUCUCUCUCUCUGUGUGUGUGUGUGUGUGUGAGAGAGAGAGAGAGAGAGAGAGAGAAUUAUCUUUGCAUGAUGAGUGGGUAAA
Molecule: non-coding RNA, 127 nt
Organism: Podarcis lilfordi (Lilford's wall lizard)
Lineage: Eukaryota; Metazoa; Chordata; Lepidosauria; Squamata; Lacertidae
Source: the annotation of a GenBank genome assembly